GACACUAUGAGUUUUUGGUUAUGCCUUUCAAACUUACUAAUGCACCUGCUGUUUAUUGCCGCCAAUAGCGCUUCGCUUGCAUGCAAGGCGGCAUGCCAGGUAGAGCUAUCAUUAAGGGCGAAGGAGAUGCAUUUCUGUACUGGUAGUACUGGACAAGCUCUCAGGGAAUAAUCUCUUUCUUAUUUCUGCCUUUCUUUCCCAUGACGACUAGGAACAGG
Molecule: long non-coding RNA, 218 nt
Filed under: Gossypium barbadense (sea-island cotton)
Lineage: Eukaryota; Viridiplantae; Streptophyta; Magnoliopsida; Malvales; Malvaceae
Description: long non-coding RNA (GBAR_LNC001315)
Source: RNAcentral